CGGCAGGCCUAAUACAUGCAAGUCGAGGGGCAGCGAUGCAGCAAUACAGUCGGCGACCGGCGCACGGGUGCGUAACACGUAUGCAACCUGCCUUCAACUGGGAGAUAGCCCGGGGAAACUCGGAUUAAUACCCCAUAACACAGUGAAACAGCAUUGUUUUAUUGUUAAAGCUCCGGCGGUUGAAGAUGGGCAUGCGUUCGAUUAGCUAGUUGGUGUAGGUAACGGCUCACCAAGGCUACGAUCGAUAGGGGGUCUGAGAGGAUGAUCCCCCACACUGGUACUGAGAUACGGACCAGACUCCUACGGGAGGCAGCAGUAGGGAAUAUUGGUCAAUGGGCGCAAGCCUGAACCAGCCAUGCCGCGUGCAGGAAGACGGCCCUCUGGGUUGUAAACUGCUUUUGAUAGGGAACAAAUGCCACUUGCGAGUGGAGCUGAGUGUACCUAUAGAAUAAGCACCGGCUAACUCCGUGCCAGCAGCCGCGGUAAUACGGAGGGUGCAAGCGUUGUCCGGAUUUAUUGGGUUUAAAGGGUGCGUAGGCGGCCUAAUAAGUCAGUGGUGAAAGCCUCCAGCUUAACUGGAGAACUGCCAUUGAUACUG
Molecule: ribosomal RNA, 598 nt
Filed under: uncultured soil bacterium
Lineage: Bacteria
Description: bacterial SSU rRNA
Rfam family: Bacterial small subunit ribosomal RNA
Source: RNAcentral